GCACCAAGGUGUUGAGCUCAGAUCGAAAGGAAGACAUGUAAAUUGGCACACUUGACCUUUUCAUGAGAAGCAGUUUACCAGAACCAACAGAUAUGCGACUUUCAAGUCUAAUCGCAUGAAUCAAUUGCCAGAUUGAAGCAGGCUCCGAAGGAAGUGGAUACUCUCCCUCUUGAAGUGUCUGUACACCACAAAAGCAUUAAGUUGGCAAAGAUUUAUAACGGGUCAGAUG
Non-coding RNA from Pelobates cultripes (western spadefoot toad), 229 nucleotides. NCBI's taxonomy places the organism in Eukaryota, Metazoa, Chordata, Amphibia, Anura, Pelobatidae. The record is from the annotation of a GenBank genome assembly.